This 75-nucleotide transfer RNA is filed under the name Actinomycetes bacterium. RNAcentral describes it as "Actinobacteria bacterium tRNA-Thr". It matches the Rfam family "tRNA". From Rfam's summary of the family: Transfer RNA (tRNA) molecules are approximately 80 nucleotides in length. Their secondary structure includes four short double-helical elements and three loops (D, anti-codon, and T loops). The record is from RNAcentral. RNAcentral also lists the same sequence under 1 other name. Lineage: Bacteria; Bacillati; Actinomycetota; Actinomycetes.
GCCGACGUAGCUCAACGGUAGAGCAAUCGCCUUGUAAGCGAUAGGUUGUGGGUUCGAUUCCCUCCGUCGGCUCCA